Molecule: long non-coding RNA, 848 nt
Filed under: Phasianus colchicus (ring-necked pheasant)
Lineage: Eukaryota; Metazoa; Chordata; Aves; Galliformes; Phasianidae
Description: lncRNA (ENSPCLG00000000994.1)
Source: RNAcentral
GCUGUGGGUAGGGUUGCCACCCACUAGAUCAGGCUGCCAGGACCCCAUCCAAACUAGCACUGAACACUUUCAGGGAUGGGACAUACACAACUUCUCUGGGCAAUCUGUUCCUCACCACCCUCUAAGUAAAGAUUUUCUUUCUAAUAUCUAAUCUAAAUAUCUAUGUCAUCUGGGACCACAACAGAGCUGAUAUAACCUGCUCUGAGCUGUGUCUGGUUCCCAGGGCAUCCAGUAGUUCCUGGUCCACUUGUGCUCCAGCCAGCUGAAGUUCUCUGGCUUUGUGAAUUUAGGAAAAAAGAGGAAUAAAUCCUAUCUUGGAUGGUACCUUUAUUCAGCAACUGACAGAGGGUGUCAUAAGCACUUUGCAGGGUAGAGUUCUCAUCUGCUUGGACAACUUGACAACCUAUUUGAGAAGAAUUGAAAGAAAUAAAUUUUAUGUCCUAAAAUGUCCUAAGCACCUGAAACAAGAGAAACCUGUACCAUGCUGCAUGCUUCUGCAGACAUUAAAUCUCUGUUAAGAGUGAAGUGGUAGUGGAAGGCCUAAAAUCCAAGUCCCCUCCAUAUAUUUGCAAGAGGUGGCAGUAAACACCUGAAGCAGCCUCAUACUUGAAGACCCCCACAAGUCCUCUGCCAAGCAGUCUUGCAGCCAACUACGUGAUAUUUUUAGCAGAGAAGAAUCAACAUCAGACUUCUGCUCAAAAUCUGAGUUUUCCCAAAGUUGAGGCAUACCUAGAAUUUUGCUCUGGAUUUCUCUUUCUUCCUGUAAUGCAGAAAGAAUGGUUUGCUUAAGUACCUGGAUCAGACUGCAACUGAAAGGUUUAAUCAUCUCAGUGAGAAAAGUGACACUG